Long non-coding RNA from Ooceraea biroi (clonal raider ant), 275 nucleotides. RefSeq lists it as uncharacterized. NCBI's taxonomy places the organism in Eukaryota, Metazoa, Arthropoda, Insecta, Hymenoptera, Formicidae. The record is from RefSeq and is a predicted model, not a curated record.
GACCGAAAUUUGUUUCCCCGCUUCCUACUCCGCUUUUGCCGGCUUUGCGAGGUUUUUUUCUUGAGAUUUUCUUAUAAUCGUGAGUCUCGGUAACAACUGCUUUACCCUUCACCAGUGUACCGACUCGACAGUGUAUCCAGAGCCAGAGCGUGAGACAAAUCUCGAGCAUGCGCAGUGGUAUGAACAUUGGACGUUCUCAAUCCUCAAUCCCGUAUAUACUUUAUCGCAAAAAGGUAUUAUUAUUAUUAUUAUUAUUUUUCGUUAUGUCCAGAAAA